RNAcentral lists this ribosomal RNA (497 nucleotides) under uncultured bacterium. RNAcentral's name for it is "partial 16S ribosomal RNA". It matches the Rfam family "Bacterial small subunit ribosomal RNA", at positions 28 to 507 of the family's 1533-position model. The record is from RNAcentral.
GAUGAACGCUGGCGGCGUGCCUAAUACAUGCAAGUCGAGCGAACAGACGAGGAGCUUGCUCCUUUGACGUUAGCGGCGGACGGGUGAGUAACACGUGGGUAACCUACCUAUAAGACUGGGAUAACUUCGGGAAACCGGGGCUAAUACCGGAUAAUAUUUCGAACCGCAUGGUUCGAUAGUGAAAGAUGGCUCUGCUAUCACUUAUAGAUGGACCUGCGCCGUAUUAGCUAGUUGGUAAGGUAACGGCUUACCAAGGCAACGAUACGUAGCCGACCUGAGAGGGUGAUCGGCCACACUGGAACUGAGACACGGUCCAGACUCCUACGGGAGGCAGCAGUAGGGAAUCUUCCGCAAUGGGCGAAAGCCUGACGGAGCAACGCCGCGUGAGUGAUGAAGGUCUUCGGAUCGUAAAACUCUGUUAUUAGGGAAGAACAAACGUGUAAGUAACUGUGCACGUCUUGACGGUACCUAAUCAGAAAGCCACGGCUAACUACGUG